This is a long non-coding RNA of Achroia grisella, 183 nucleotides long. RefSeq lists it as uncharacterized. The transcript is spliced from 2 exons. Lineage: Eukaryota; Metazoa; Arthropoda; Insecta; Lepidoptera; Pyralidae. The record is from RefSeq and is a predicted model, not a curated record.
CAGCUGCAAAGUCGGCGAUGGACGUAUGGGUUUUUGUAAACAUAUAGCAAAAUGUACAGAAGCGGCAACAGCUUUUAAGAAUGGGCAUCGGCCAAAAAUUUGUUCAUUUGGCAAGGAUGCAUUGGAUAUCUUCGUCUGCUGUGACGAUACUCUCAUAUUUAACGGCACACCUGGAGUAGUAAG